UAGGGAAUCUUCCGCAAUGGACGCAAGUCUGACGGAGCAACGCCGCGUGAGUGAAGAAGGUUUUCGGAUCGUAAAACUCUGUUGUUAGAGAAGAACAAGUGCUAGAGUAACUGUUAGCGCCUUGACGGUAUCUAACCAGAAAGCCACGGCUAACUACGUGCCAGCAGCCGCGGUAAUACGUAGGUGGCAAGCGUUGUCCGGAUUUAUUGGGCGUAAAGCGAGCGCAGGCGGUUCCUUAAGUCUGAUGUGAAAGCCCCCGGCUCAACCGGGGAGGGUCAUUGGAAACUGGGGAACUUGAGUGCAGAAGAGGAGAGUGGAAUUCCAUGUGUAGCGGUGAAAUGCGUAGAUAUAUGGAGGAACACCAGUGGCGAAGGCGACUCUCUGGUCUGUAACUGACGCUGAGGCUCGAAAGCGUGGGUAGCAAACAGGAUUAGAUACCCUGGUAGUCCACGCCGUAAACGAUGAGUGCUAAGUGUUGGAGGGUUUCCGCCCUUCAGUGCUGCAGUUAACGCAUUAAGCACUCCGCCUGGGGAGUACGACCGCAAGGGUUG
Molecule: ribosomal RNA, 551 nt
Filed under: uncultured bacterium
Lineage: Bacteria
Description: bacterial SSU rRNA
Rfam family: Bacterial small subunit ribosomal RNA
Source: RNAcentral